Molecule: long non-coding RNA, 752 nt
Organism: Passer domesticus (house sparrow)
Lineage: Eukaryota; Metazoa; Chordata; Aves; Passeriformes; Passeridae
Exons: 2
Source: RefSeq, a predicted model, not a curated record
GCCAUGGCAGGGACACCUCCCACUAUCCCAGGGUGCUCUAAGGCUUAUCCAACCUAGCCUGGGACAUUUCCAGGGGCAGCCACAGCUUCUCUGGGAUGUAGGCCUGUACACUUGGAUCACCAUGGCACGUCAGCAUCCACCCAGGAAGCGAGCUGGAAGCAGGGAAUUCACUUGCUCUUUAAACGCAGGCGGUGUUAUUAAAGCCAAAAUGACUAAAAAUGGCUAAAAGCAGGAGAAGAGAGGCAUUAAAAUGGAAACGACUCCCUGCAAGUGCUUUGAUAUGACGAUAAAAGCGGGAUUCUGAUUGCGGCUCUCCCAGCGGUAUCCGCCACCAGCGCGGAAACCUCGGCGGCUGGGAGCCUUUGGAAGAGCUCCUGGCACACUGGGAAUGUGUGGAUUCAGGCCAGGGAGAGGCUGGGCCUUUGUGUUUGUUCAGGAAAUUAAUGAGGCUGUUGGAGAGGGUGGUGAGACCCUGGUUGCCCAGAGAAGUUGUGGCUGCCCCUGGAUUCCUGGAAGUGUCCGUGGCCAGGCUAAAGGAUCUAAAAAUACAGAAAAAUAUUAAAAAACAGUAGAAGCACCAAGAAACAAGAAGGAAAAAAUUCAGCACUGAAAAUGAGAAAGAAGAAAAAGCUUCAAGAAAAAGAUUUCCUCUUUCCAGUAAUACAAACCCCACAUUUAUUCACAUUUAUUCACAUCAGAUCUUUACCAGGGGAUUUAUGGAAGGAUUUAUUAAAGGUUUUAGUAUUUAUUGA